Molecule: transfer RNA, 63 nt
Filed under: Pimpla luctuosa
Lineage: Eukaryota; Metazoa; Arthropoda; Insecta; Hymenoptera; Ichneumonidae
Description: tRNA-Ala
Source: RNAcentral
AGGAUAUUUAAAUUUUAAUUUGCAAUUAAAUUUAAUUGAAUUUUUUAACUUCAAUAUAUCUUA